UCCCUCAGGUAGGCUUGUGUGUCUCAGGA
RNAcentral lists this non-coding RNA (29 nucleotides) under Mus musculus (house mouse). The record is from RNAcentral. Lineage: Eukaryota; Metazoa; Chordata; Mammalia; Rodentia; Muridae.